RNAcentral lists this small nuclear RNA (299 nucleotides) under Nannospalax galili (Upper Galilee mountains blind mole rat). Its description in RNAcentral is "7SK RNA (ENSNGAG00000004465.1)". It matches the Rfam family "7SK RNA". Rfam says of the family: 7SK was discovered as an abundant small nuclear RNA in the mid-70s but a possible function has only recently been suggested. Two independent studies have found that 7SK RNA binds the CDK9/cyclin T complex (known as elongation factor P-TEFb). The record is from Rfam by way of RNAcentral. Lineage: Eukaryota; Metazoa; Chordata; Mammalia; Rodentia; Spalacidae.
GGCAGUGAGGGUGAUCUAGCUGCAACAUCUGCUACCCCAUUGAUAGCCAGGGUGAUCUGGAUGACCUGGGUGACUAGACAAGUUCCCUUCUUUACUUAUUCCUCAAUGUGGGUUCUUCCUGAAGCUUCACUGUUGGCCAAAGAGGACAACCCUCCUCAGUAGAGGAGAACUGUUCGUCAAGAGUGUCCCUGUAGCUGUGUCCCUGGCUCGAACCGCCAACAAGGUCUCAAGAAAAAGCAAGUCAGGCUUCCGAGACUCUAGACACAUCCAAGUGAGGUGCUGCACAUGGCAACCUUUCU